This 112-nucleotide ribosomal RNA is filed under the name Caerostris darwini. The record is from RNAcentral. Lineage: Eukaryota; Metazoa; Arthropoda; Arachnida; Araneae; Araneidae.
AACGGCCGUACCAUGCUGAAUAUACCGGUUCUCGUUAGAUCACCGAAGUUAAGCAUCAUUGGGCGCGGUCAGUACUUGGGUGGGUAACCACCUGGGAACACUGCGUGCCGUU